UGCUCUGAUGAGAUCACUUAAUAGGAAGUGCCGUCAGAAGCGAUAACUGACGAUAAAGUUUCCCGACUGACU
This is a small nucleolar RNA of Capra hircus (goat), 72 nucleotides long. Ensembl annotates it as small nucleolar RNA, C/D box 49A. Its record names the gene SNORD49A. The record is from Ensembl. NCBI's taxonomy places the organism in Eukaryota, Metazoa, Chordata, Mammalia, Artiodactyla, Bovidae.